CUCAAGUUCGGGAGGCGUUACCUGCGGAGGGUUUGAGGCAGGCCCAAGAGCGAGCCCAUGGUCUUCCGACGCGGGGCCAGGGGCGGGCCCCAGGAUCCGGAGCUUCGUGCGGGGCCGAGUCCAGGUUUGGGGCCCGGGAGGCGGGGCCAGUUAGGGCGACUGUCCCUGGGAUCGUCGGGUCAGGCCUUGGGCUAACGUAGGCACUCUCGCAGUUCCUCCGCCUUCAGGAAGGUCUUUUCAGCAGGGGCCUUACGGGUGCAUGCUUCGGUCCUGGAGGCCUUAUCCUAGCCUCCUCUCCAUCAGCGCCACCCGUCUGGGGCCCGAAAGGAGGGAGCUUUCCCUCUGUCCCCCAGCCUUUGGACUGUCACCAAACAAGCCAUUCGUUCAUCAAAUACUUUUUAAGCGCCUACCAUGUGCCUGACAAGGGAGAUGUAACGGUGAGAAAAACUAGGUGUGGUCCAGGCCCUUCAGGGGCUCAGGUGCUCGUGGAAGAAGUGGACAUUGAAGUACUUAUCACACAAAUGAGGAUAAAAGUACGAUAGCGAUAUCUACCACGAAGCUGUUGUUCCCCACCAGAACCAAAUGAGCGCAAGAUCUGACAAAGAAAAAAAAAGGUUCAUCUUUUAUUCCUCCAAACACUUUCAUUUAAAUCAAG
RNAcentral lists this long non-coding RNA (655 nucleotides) under Homo sapiens (human). RNAcentral's name for it is "PREDICTED lncRNA (TCONS_00248902)". Lineage: Eukaryota; Metazoa; Chordata; Mammalia; Primates; Hominidae. The record is from RNAcentral.